This is a non-coding RNA of Xyrichtys novacula (pearly razorfish), 327 nucleotides long. NCBI's taxonomy places the organism in Eukaryota, Metazoa, Chordata, Actinopteri, Labriformes, Labridae. The record is from the annotation of a GenBank genome assembly.
UCUGUAACCAAAAAAAAAAAAAAAAAAAAAAGGUUGAAAUAACCAGGAAGUUGAGAAUUAGCUGCAUAUGUUGUGAAAUGCAGUUUUACAAAUAAGCACUUGUUGAAUUGAUGCUUAUUUCUGAACCUCUAAUGGCGGAUAAUAUCACUUUGGAGUGGUUCCAAAGAGUAAAUCAGAUGUUUCUACUAAUGAGGUGAAUGGUCCUGUCGGCUUCAUCGAGCUGUCACCCUCAGCUCUCACUGCGUCAGUUCGCAACCAAGUGUGAAGCAGAUGGGAUGAGAAUCAGCAACUCCAAAUCUGAGUCCAUGGUUCUCAGCCUGAAAAGGU